AGAAAUAAAAUAGUUUUACAAAAAAGACCAAAGAGCUACCUCUGAGCUAGCUGUUACAUUAAGUUGAGAAAGUUUCCCAGCAGCUUAUUGACUGGGUAAGCAGUUGUUCAGGAUUGCUUUUCAUUGUUGGGUUUUGGAGUCCACAGGUUAGUGUGCAGGAGAGUAAGGCAUGUGCUGGCUCUCUUUCUCAUUUGAGUGAGGGUGCUUUUGAUUUUUUUGUGAAUUGUUCUGUAGUUUGAAGAAUCUAGAAGGACAGGCUAUCAACAGAGGCAGUCUGCUUAAGCAAGGUCGUCUUGGAGUCCUUUCUAACAAUUUGAUGAGCAGUAAACCUCUGCAAUCCUGUCUAAUAUUUGUCUUUAUGUUAUUUCUUAGGAGACGCUCUGUCUCUUCCUUCCCAGUCCCCCAGGACAAUGUGGAUACUCAUCCUGGUUCUGGUAAAGAAGUGAGGGUACCAACUACUGCCUUGUGUGUCUUCGAUGCACAUGAUGGGGAAGUCAACGCUGUGCAGUUCAGUCCAGGUUCCCGGUUACUGGCCACCGGAGGCAUGGACCGCAGGGUUAAGCUUUGGGAAGUAUUUGGAGAAAAAUGUGA
RNAcentral lists this small RNA (591 nucleotides) under Pan troglodytes (chimpanzee). Its description in RNAcentral is "retained intron". Lineage: Eukaryota; Metazoa; Chordata; Mammalia; Primates; Hominidae. The record is from RNAcentral.